CGAACAAACGCUGGCGGCGUGUCUUAAGCAUGCAAGUUGAGCGGCAAGGAGGAGAGAUCCUCCCUAGAGCGGCGGACUGGUGAGUAACGCGUGGGUAAUCUAUCGUAGGCAUGGGGAUAGUCACUAGAAAUAGUGGGUAAUACCGCAUACGCCCUGAGGGGGAAAGCGGGGGAUUCUUCGGAACCUCGCGCGAUUGGAGCGGCCGAUGUCGGAUUAGCUAGUAGGUGAGGUAAAGGCUCACCUAGGCGACGAUCCGUAGCGGGUCUGAGAGGAUGAUCCGCCACACUGGGACUGAGACACGGCCCAGACUCCUACGGGAGGCAGCAGUGGGGAAUUUUGGACAAUGGGCGCAAGCCUGAUCCAGCCAUGCCGCGUGAGUGAAGAAGGCCUUCGGGUUGUAAAGCUCUUUCGGCCGGGAAGAAAUCGUGGUCUCUAACAUAGGCCAUGGAUGACGGUACCGGACUAAGAAGCACCGGCUAACUACGUG
Molecule: ribosomal RNA, 487 nt
Filed under: uncultured bacterium
Lineage: Bacteria
Description: bacterial SSU rRNA
Rfam family: Bacterial small subunit ribosomal RNA
Source: RNAcentral